RNAcentral lists this ribosomal RNA (257 nucleotides) under uncultured prokaryote. RNAcentral describes it as "partial 16S ribosomal RNA". It matches the Rfam family "Bacterial small subunit ribosomal RNA", at positions 524 to 780 of the family's 1533-position model. The record is from RNAcentral.
UACGGAGGAUGCAAGCGUUAUCCGGAUUUAUUGGGUUUAAAGGGUGCGCAGGUUGUUUGAUAAGUCAGUGGUGAAAGUCUGUCGCUUAACGGUAGGAUUGCCAUUGAUACUGUUGGACUUGAAUAUGGAUGAAGUAGGCGGAAUUUGUGGUGUAGCGGUGAAGUGCAUAGAUAUCACGAGGAACUCCGAUUGCGCAGGCAGCUUACUAAGCCAUAACUGACGCUCAGGCACGAAGGCGUGGGGAUCAAACAGGAUUA